CCGAUCAAGGCGAUUAGCCGUCUUAGCCUCGAGAAAGAGGAUUGAUUCAUCGUUCAUAGCAAUAAGGUCUGGCUCAGUGACAGACAUACAAUCCAUCCAACAUUUGAGUACAUGAUAAUCCAGGGUGGGGGGGACUAGGCUAACUUAGUACAGUAGCACAAAAUUAAAGAGGUUCUGCAUAGUACCAUAGCUUUGUUUCUUACCAUUUCAUUCAUUCCAUUAUUACUGAUUGAGAGACAUGAGACGACGGAAAUGCAAUCCAAGGCAGAUGGAUGGAGAUGACUACGGAAAGAAAGGGUUCACUCGGAUCUGGCGGCGUAUCGUUCCACCUUGGGGUCGUUGAGGUUGAUGCCGACCAUGGCCUCCCCGAGCCCCGUGCUGACGUCGGCCAGGAUGGUGGGGUCGCUGUAGUGGGUGACUGCCUGGACGAUGGCGCGGGCGCGGCGCGCGGGGUCGCCGCUCUUGAAGAUGCCCGAGCCGACGAAGACGCCGUCGCAUCCGAGCUGCAUCAUGAGCGCGGCGUCGGCGGGCGUGGCGACACCCCCCGCGGCGAACUGCACGACGGGGAGGCGGCCCAGCUGCUUGGUCUGCAUGACGAGGUCGUAGGGCGCGGCGAUGCGCUUGGCGUAGGCGAAGACCUCGUCGUCGUCCAUGCUGCGGAGCGCGCGGACGUCGCCCAUGACGGAGCGCACGUGGCGCACGGCCUCGACGACGUUGCCCGUGCCGGCCUCCCCCUUGGUGCGGAUCAUGGCGGCGCCCUCGCGCACCCUGCGGAGCGCCUCGCCGAGGUCGCGGCAGCCGCAGACGAAGGGGACGCGGAAGUUGUGCUUGUUGAUGUGGUGCGCGUCGUCGGCGGGGGUCAGCACCUCGCUCUCGUCCACGUAGUCGACGCCCACGGCCUCCAGGAUCUGGGCCUCCACGAAGUGCCCGAUGCGGGCCUUGGCCAUGACCGGGAUGGUGACGGCGCGCUUGAUGUCGCGGAUGAGGCCCGGGUCCGACAUGCGCGCCACGCCGCCCUGCGCGCGGAUGUCGGCGGGGACCCGCUCCAGCGCCAUCACGGCGCACGCGCCGGCCUCCUCCGCGAGGCGCGCCUGCUCCGGGGUCACCACGUCCAUGAUGACCCCGCCCCGGAGCAUCUGCGCCAGCCCCACCUUGACGGAGAAAGUCGCCGACUUGGGCUGCUUGGACGGCUCCAGCAGCUCCGCGCCGUUGCUGCCGUACACCGUCACCACGCCGCUGCCGUCGGACGCCAUGGGUUUGGUUCGCUUGUGCCUAGCCUUGUGUGGAAUGGAAUGGAUUGGUUUCCUCGAUCCGGGUGCCUUUGUAUCCUCUCUCGGGAAGGUUCCAGUCAGGCUCAGGGGAGAGAAGAGGAGGGCGGCGGCGGGGUGGGGUGG
Molecule: unclassified non-coding RNA, 1394 nt
Filed under: Zea mays
Lineage: Eukaryota; Viridiplantae; Streptophyta; Magnoliopsida; Poales; Poaceae
Description: misc RNA Zm00001eb298360
Source: RNAcentral